ACUAAGCGUACACGGUGGAUGCCCUGGCAGUCAGAGGCGAUGAAGGACGUGCUAAUCUGCGAUAAGCGUCGGUAAGGUGAUAUGAACCGUUAUAACCGGCGAUUUCCGAAUGGGGAAACCCAGUGUGAUUCGUCACACUAUCGUUAAGUGAAUACAUAGCUUAACGAAGCGAACCGGGGGAACUGAAACAUCUAAGUACCCCGAGGAAAAGAAAUCAACCGAGAUUCCCCCAGUAGCGGCGAGCGAACGGGGAGCAGCCCAGAGUCUGAAUCAGCGCGUGUGUUAGUGGAACGGUCUGGAAAGUCCGGCGGUACAGGGUGAUAGCCCCGUACACUAAAAUGCACACGUUGUGAACUCGAAGAGUAGGGCGGGACACGUGGUAUCCUGUCUGAAUAUGGGGGGACCAUCCUCCAAGGCUAAAUACUCCUGACUGACCGAUAGUGAACCAGUACCGUGAGGGAAAGGCGAAAAGAACCCCGGCGAGGGGAGUGAAAAAGAACCUGAAACCGUGU
Molecule: ribosomal RNA, 512 nt
Filed under: Klebsiella ornithinolytica
Lineage: Bacteria; Pseudomonadati; Pseudomonadota; Gammaproteobacteria; Enterobacterales; Enterobacteriaceae
Description: partial 23S ribosomal RNA
Rfam family: Bacterial large subunit ribosomal RNA
Source: RNAcentral